CCUACGGGAGGCAGCAGUGGGGAAUAUUGGGCAAUGGGCGCAAGCCUGACCCAGCAACGCCGCGUGAAGGAAGAAGGCUUUCGGGUUGUAAACUUCUUUUUUCAGGGACGAAGCAAGUGACGGUACCUGAGGAAUAAGCCACGGCUAACUACGUGCCAACAGCCGCGGUAAUACGGAGGUGGCAAGCGUUAUCCGGAUUUACUGGGUGUAAAGGGCGUGUAGGCGGGAAAGCAAGUCAGAUGUGAAAACCAUGGGCUCAACCUGUGGCCUGCAUUUGAAACUGUUUUUCUUGAGUACUGGAGAGGCAGACGGAAUUCCUAGUGUAGCGGUGAAAUGCGUAGAUAUUAGGAGGAACACCAGUGGCGAAGGCGGUCUGCUGGACAGCAACUGACGCUGAGGCGCGAAAGCGUGGGGAGCAAACAGGAUUAGAUACCCUAGUAGUC
This 443-nucleotide ribosomal RNA is filed under the name uncultured bacterium. Its description in RNAcentral is "partial 16S ribosomal RNA". It matches the Rfam family "Bacterial small subunit ribosomal RNA", at positions 338 to 795 of the family's 1533-position model. The record is from RNAcentral.